GGGAGGGAGAGAGAUGGAGAGAAGAGGGAGGUAGAGGGAGGUAGAGGGAGGUAGGUAGAGAGAUGGAGAGAAGAGGGAGGUAGAGAGAUGAAGAGGGGGGAGAGAAUCAGAAGUAUCAUUCUCUGAAUGUAAAUAGAAGCUGAAGAUUGUUAUCUAUCUGAUCAUUUCAAUUGAUCCUUUUUCAAAGUGAUUAGUUUAAUGUAACUUGGUUUUGUAGCGCCCACUGCUCUCUUCAGUUAGACUGCUGUUCCUGUGUGUCCUCAUAUCCAUGAUAAUAAUCAUCACAACCUGGAUGCUUUCACUCUUUCUGUAUUGGCUUGUAGUCCAGACGCUUGUGUUUAGAUCCUAGAAAAUCUUUUAACUUAUGUUUCUGUAUGUUAGAUAAACAGCAGCUAUAGAUUAUUGAUAAGAAAUGUCAUCUGUAGCAAUUCAUUAGUUAACAUUGAUAAGAAAUGUCAUCUGUAACAAUUCAUUAGUUAACAUUGAUAAGAAAUGUCAUCUGUAGCAAUUCAUUAGUAUCUGUAAAACAAAAAGGGCAAACCAAAGUUCAGUCAACGUUAAAAGAACAUGACAUCAUCAUGACAUCAUCAUGACAUCAUCGCCAGGAGUAGAAGCUCAACGCAUCAGGUCUUUUGAAAAGUGGGCAAAGAGGAACAGGAGAGAAGCCUGUUUGGCCCAGAGCACAGAGGCCAGUUUGGGGUGUUGUUCCAGGUAUAGCAGUGUCCCUGGGCAUCUCAGAAGAUUGAUAUGUCAUAUUAAUGUGGUUGAACACUUUUAAUGGCAUUGUGAGCAGAGAGACUGCAAUAUAGACAAACUGGAAUGAACCCAAUACGCUCUACAGACUCCUCUCUGGUCUUGUCCAGCCUCUGCUCUAUGCUAGUCGGUACUAGGAAAGUUAGACAUUUCCGACUUGCUAAUUUGUUGAAUAUGGCAAGUACAACAAUUAGCAUGCAAGAGAUUUUGGAGUUUCCUAGUUCCGACUAAGAAGUUAAUGUGUCAUAUCUGUCUGUCUGUCUGUCUGUCUGUCUGUCUGUCUGUCUGUCUGUCUGUCUGUCUGUCUGUCUGUCUGUCUGUCUGUCUGCCUGUCUGCCUGUCUGUCUGCCUGUCUGUCUGUCUGUCUGUCUGUCUGUCUGCCUGCCUGUCUGCCUGCCUGUCUGUCUGUCUGUCUGUCUGUCUGUCUGUCUGUCUGUCUGUCUGUCUGUCUGUCUGUCUGUCUGUCUGUCUGCCUGUCUGUCUGUCUGUCUGUCUGUCUGUCUGUCUGUCUGUCUGUCUGUCUGUCUGCCUGCCUGCCUGCCUGCCUGCCUGCCUGCCUGCCUGCCUGUCUGUCUGCCUGCCUGCCUGCCUGCCUGCCUGCCUGCCUGCCUGUCUGUCUGUCUGUCUGUCUGUCUGUCUGUCUGUCUGCCUGUCUGUCUGUCUGUCUGUCUGUCUGUCUGCCUGUCUGUCGCAGCCUUCUUUUACAACUAUAAACGCAGAGAAAAACAACAAAAACUACAAAAGGGAAAUCUUUAAAUAUGAAUAUUUUACAAUAACCAAUAAGUAUAUGACUAAUAUUAAUAAUAAUAUCAACAUUAAUACUGAAGUCUCACAUAGGUACUGGGGGAGGAAGGGAGGGAUGAACACAGAGGGGAGGGUUAAACAACUGAUAUUGUACCUGCUUGUUGUGUAUCUUGUUAAUUAACCCCACAGCUAAUAAUAAACUGGGACUAUGCAUAACCAA
This is a long non-coding RNA of Oncorhynchus nerka (sockeye salmon), 1717 nucleotides long. RefSeq lists it as uncharacterized. NCBI's taxonomy places the organism in Eukaryota, Metazoa, Chordata, Actinopteri, Salmoniformes, Salmonidae. The record is from RefSeq and is a predicted model, not a curated record. The transcript has 2 exons.